RNAcentral lists this unclassified non-coding RNA (252 nucleotides) under plant metagenome. RNAcentral's name for it is "partial contains small subunit ribosomal RNA, internal transcribed spacer 1, and 5.8S ribosomal RNA". The stretch from base 1 to 53 matches the Rfam family "Eukaryotic small subunit ribosomal RNA", at positions 1778 to 1831 of the family's 1831-position model. The record is from RNAcentral.
GGAAGUAAAAGCGUAACAAGGUCACCGUUGGUGAACCAGCGGAGGGAUCAUUACAGAGUUGCAAAACUCCCAAACCAUUGUGAACGUUACCUAUCCCGUUGCUUCGGCGGGCGGCCCGGGCCCCGCGCCCGGCGCCCCCCGGCCCCCCGUGGGCGCCCGCCGGAGGUAAACCAAACCCUUGAAUUGCAUGGCCUCUCUGAGUCUUCUGUACUGAAUAAGUCAAAACUUUCAACAACGGAUCUCUUGGUUCUG